Taeniopygia guttata (zebra finch) is the source of this 2416-nucleotide long non-coding RNA. NCBI's taxonomy places the organism in Eukaryota, Metazoa, Chordata, Aves, Passeriformes, Estrildidae. The record is from Ensembl.
CUUUAAAAUACCUUUAUUUAAAGAGAUUAGCUCAGGUGGGAGCCCAACAGGCUGUGCACACGCUGCCGCUGCUUCCCGGAUGGAUGCUCAGGAGGAGGAAAUGCUGCUUUGUCUGCUUUAUGUGCAGGCAGAGCCAGAAGAUCUGUCCUCGCAGGAGCGGCAGGAUUCUUCCCCUUUCAACAGUCUGUGCUAUGGUCCCAGGUCCUUACUCUAUUUGAGGUCUCUGGUUAGAGUGACAGAUUAAAACUUCUCUCCGGGUACUAGAAUUAGUUGCUCACCCUUCUGCAAGCGCCUCGGUCUUAUAAUUCUGCAAAGGCUCAUAGUUCUAGGGCUUUCUAGUGUGGUUUUUGAGGAGUUCCUGUAUUUGCAUACUUUUUCUGAUGUCAUCUCCUCUGCACAGGCCCGGGCGCCAUUUUCCAGGAAGUAGCAGCUGGCAGCACAGUGAAGCUGAACCUAACACAGAAGGAUCUCCAACAAGGAAUGAACACAGAUCCUUCAUGUUACACAUCACAACAGGAAGACAGAAAGCACUUCAUCUGGGAGGAAAGUGUCUGAAGAGAGCAAGGGCCACAACACUGCUGAGAGGUUAUGACUGUAGCCAGCUGAAGUUUUCUCAUGUUGGCUACUAGUAUCACAAGAUGCAGCAAAGAAAGAAGACAAUCAUCUCCAAAGGACGAUGCCCUGACAACAGCAACAUUUGACAAAACUCAGUGCUUUUCAUAAUUCAGUCAGCUGUCUGUGCUGAAUACCUGUUGAUAAACAACCAAGAUAUCUAUGUCCUUACAAUCGGUUAGUUAUAACCGAAACUUUGGAAAAGGAAGAAAAAGUUAUUAAUGUGAACAAUUGACUAACAAUUAUGUGGUUUUAGUUUGUGAUUUUCAGAAACCUGGAGUUUUCAUAAUACAAUGUAAAGGGUGUCAAAUGGUCAUAAUUUACAAAAAUGAAUUUGUAUAUACCAUGUAGCAACCCACAAGGAUGUACUUUCUAAAGGGUUUGUGAGUUCCUUCGAAAUUAUAAAAAAAGUGAAAAGCACUGGCUAGAUAAACCCACUGCUUUCAGUAAUUCAUAUUACAAUAUAUUUACAUAGUUAUAUUUCUGUCACAGAGCAAACAUGGAAAAUAUCCAACAAAUUCUGUUUGUUUAAUAACAAUUAAAUGCCUCAUUGACAGCAAGGAUGAAGAAUUAGCAGGUCAUGGAGCCAACAGGUUGUUACAUUUUAUUGUGGUCAAUCAGAUUAUUGAAGACCAUAAAAGAGAGCCUGUUUUGAUGUACAGACACAUGUACCAAGCUACUAAAUGUGUGGAUUUAUAUGGUCAUUGACACUUUUGGUUGGUCUGUCUGAAGCAGGAUUUGACAAACUUGUCUUUACAAACUCAGUUCCAAAAGUUACAUUAAGUUCCCUUUAUUAAAAAAUUUCCUGUUUUACCUACAACUUCAGUCCAUAUGUGGCAGCACCAAAAAAAAAUCUGGAAACAUACAAUCUGUGAAAUAAAAAAAUGUAUUAAACUUUACUAUUCCUCUCCCUUAAGGAAUCUUAUUGGGUUAUUUGGAAAUUAACAGAUGUCUUUAUUUGAUCUCCUUUGGACAGAGAAGGGCUAUGGAUGUCAUUCAUCUGGAUUUCUGUAGGCCUUUUGAUAUGGUCCCUCAAAACAUCCUUCUCUCCAUAUUGGGGGGAAAAGGAUUCAAUGCGUGGACCAUGGUGGAUAAGGAAUUGCCUAGAUGGUUGCAUCCAGAGACUGGUGUUCAACAGCUCAGUGUCCAGAGAUGAGUGGCGUCCCUCAGGGGUCCAUACAGGAGCAAGUUCUGUUUAGCAUCCUCACUGAUGAUAUAAUGGUAUUGAGUGCACCCUCUGCAAAUUUGCAGAUGACACCAAGUUGAGUGGAAUGGCCUGCCAGGGGAAGUGGUGGAGUCACCAUCCCUGGAUGUGUUUAAAAAAAGACUGGAUGUGGCACACAGUGCCGUGGUUUAGUUGAGGUGUUAGGGCAUGGAUUGAACUCGAUGAUCUUUAUGGUCUCUUCCAACCUAGUCAUUCUGUGAAUUCUGUGUGAGUGGUACUGUUGGCACUCCUCAAGAAUGGGGCGCCAUCCAGUGGGAUCUGGACAAACUGGGGGACUGUUCCCAUGGGAAUUUCCUGAGGUUUAACAAGACCAAGUUCAAGGUGCUGCAUCUGGGUCAAGGCAACCCCCACUAUCAACACAGGACCAGAGAUGAACAGAUCAAGUGCAGCCCUGUGAGAAAGACUUGGAGGUGAAAUGUAAAAGCUUCAACAUUAAUUCUCAUUGUUAGAUGUGCUGUACAUAUCAUACACGAGCAAUCCUUACCUUUACAACUGCUCAGUAAUCUGCAGAGACACAAAAGCUUUCAUCAUUAUUAUGCAGCUACAGUACAUCAGUUAAAAAAAUCUCCAGUAGAAAUA